Non-coding RNA from Mycena leptocephala, 90 nucleotides. NCBI's taxonomy places the organism in Eukaryota, Fungi, Basidiomycota, Agaricomycetes, Agaricales, Mycenaceae. The record is from the annotation of a GenBank genome assembly.
GCGGAUGUGGUGCACGGUGCACAGCUGCCUUCAUUAUUGGGAGAAUUGAAGAAUAAAGCAGCUGCCGGGGUUCGACUCCCUGCGUCCGCG